AGAAGCUCGUGCCUGUAACCCUGAUCUGAUAGCGUGAGACAUGCGUGUUCUUCUCUCUUCUGUGUUCUACGGUGCCGGUGACACAUGAAAUUCUUCACAAUUUCUGAGAAGUUGUGCGUGAAUGUUGGAGUGAAAGCUCAUGGGCUAGCGAAGAGGAUUGUUUUCUUUCAGGCAGUUAGGGAGGAGACGGUGACUGUUUUAAGACCACCGUAGUGGGAUCGAGCUAGGAGAAAGUGGAGUAGGGGAGUUUGUCUCCGAUGGAAAUGGCGAAGGAGAUGGUGGUUGAGGGAGAGAUUAGGAGAGAGGCCAUGUUUGUGGAGGUUUGGAAGAGGAAUGGUUUGACCGAAUGUGGUGUUACAUAUCCCGGUGGAGUAGAGCAGUCGUGUCUUAUCCUUUGGUCUCCACAUACCGGCGAAAGAAAUCCGGAGACGUUAAGCAAGUGCGUUGAGUCCAAACGUCGUCUAUAACGCCAUCAUCAACAACAACUUCCCAGUACUUGGAUAGAGUGAAACUGCAAGUAUAAACAUAGUUGAAGGCUGGUAGGUAUAGGGAGACCAUUGUGAUAAAGCUUCUGCAUUUAUGGGAAGCAAAGAAUGUGAACAAGGGUGGUGAUUUCAUGGCUGUUUAUAUUGCUUUGGUGGAUGAGAAUCCGUGCCUUUUACGACAAGAGGCUCUCCCAGGAAGUUAGCGGAGAUGCUUUGAGCGAGUCUAAUAUGCAGGAGUUCAAGGGUACGUCUUCAAGAUCAUGGGAGGGUGCGACAAGCAAGGUUUCCCGAUGAAACAGGGAGUUCUUACCCCUGGCCGUGUCCGCCUCUUGCUUCACUGAGGUACUCCUUGCUUCAGUGGACACGGAAAGAGGACUGGAGAGAGGAGGAGAAAGUCUCUGUCCGGGGUUGCAUUGUCAGCCAAGAUCUAUCUGUUCUUAAGACCAUUGUAUUUUUGUUUAUCGCAUAGUUUUGGGAAGGUUGUAAAUCAAUCGUUAGAAAACAUAUGGUAUGUUGGCUUAUAUGUUGAACGAUAAAAUCACCUAUUUGACAAAUGAUUGCUUUAGUAUUUCGUUUGAUCUUUGA
Long non-coding RNA from Brassica oleracea var. oleracea, 1070 nucleotides. RefSeq lists it as uncharacterized. The transcript has 5 exons. Lineage: Eukaryota; Viridiplantae; Streptophyta; Magnoliopsida; Brassicales; Brassicaceae. The record is from RefSeq and is a predicted model, not a curated record.